UAGGAUUCCCUUAGUAGCGGCGAGCGAACAGGGAAGAGCCCAGCACCGAAUCCCGCGGCCGGCAUCGGACGCCGGGAAAUGUGGUGUUAGGGAGGGUCCGCUUAUCUCGGGCUCGCACGACGCGUCCAAGUCCUUCUUGAACGGGGCCAUCUACCCAGAGAGGGUGCCAGGCCCGUAGAGACCGUCGUCGAGUUCGAGAGGACCUCUCCUCAGAGUCGGGUUGCUUGAGAGUGCAGCUCUAAGCGGGUGGUAAACUCCAUCUAAGGCUAAAUAUGACCACGAGACCGAUAGCGAACAAGUACCGUGAGGGAAAGUUGAAAAGAACUUUGAAGAGAGAGUUCAAUAGUACGUGAAACCGUUCAGGGGUAAACCUGAGAAACCCGAAAGUUCGAACGGGGAGAUUCAACUGCCUCUCGGAACGCGCGGCGAGCGGCGCGCAAGUCGACGGCCGGACGUUCGCGUCCGGACGCGCGGCGCGUCGCCGUCCGCCGACGAAGGCGUGCACUUCUCCCCCAGUAGGACGUCGCGACCCGUUGGGCGUCGGUCGAAGGCCCGGGGUGGUGUCCGGGGCGCUUUUCGCGCUCCGAACCCCCGGUCGCCCGGCCGGCUCGCUCGACGGUAUCGAAAACAGUUGAGGCGUUGGGUCGCGAUUAGAACGCGUCCGAUCCGUCGCAAGCGCGCUCGGAGCAUCCCGAACGUCGGACUUUAGCGCCGACCUCGGGCCCGCGGCGGCUGUUGGCGACGGCGCUCUCGGACAUUAGGCCCGCAACGCGCCCGUCUGCGACGCUCAUGCUUUGGGUACUUUCAGGACCCGUCUUGAAACACGGACCAAGGAGUCUAGCGCGUGCGCGAGUCACUGGGACUCAGACUAAACCCAAAGGCGCAAUGAAAGUGAAGGUCCGCCUCGCGCGGACUCAGGGAAGAUCGGCGCGCCUCGGCGCGCCGCGCACUCCCGGGGCGUCUCGUUCUCAUCGCGAGAAGAGGCGCACCUAGAGCGUACGCGCUGGGACCCGAAAGAUGGUGAACUAUGCCUGGUCAGGACGAAGUCAGGGGAAACCCUGAUGGAGGUCCGUAGCGAUUCUGACGUGCAAAUCGAUCGUCGGAACUGGGUAUAGGGGCGAAAGACUAAUCGAACCAUCUAGUAGCUGGUUCCCUCCGAAGUUUCCCUCAGGAUAGCUGGCGCUCGUCUUUACGAGUUUCAUCCGGUAAAGCGAAUGAUUAGAGGCAUUGGGGUCGAAACGGCCUCAACCUAUUCUCAAACUUUAAAUGGGUGAGAUCUCCGGCUUGCUCGAACGUUUGAAUGAAGCCGCGAGACUAACUUAAACAGAAUCAGAG
This 1335-nucleotide ribosomal RNA is filed under the name Eucinetus morio. RNAcentral's name for it is "eukaryotic LSU rRNA". It matches the Rfam family "Eukaryotic large subunit ribosomal RNA", at positions 70 to 1126 of the family's 3401-position model. Lineage: Eukaryota; Metazoa; Arthropoda; Insecta; Coleoptera; Eucinetidae. The record is from RNAcentral.